Molecule: ribosomal RNA, 253 nt
Filed under: uncultured bacterium
Lineage: Bacteria
Description: partial 16S ribosomal RNA
Rfam family: Bacterial small subunit ribosomal RNA
Source: RNAcentral
UACGUAGGGUGCAAGCGUUAAUCGGAAUUACUGGGCGUAAAGCGCGCGUAGGCGGCUUUGUAAGUUAGAGGUGAAAGCCCGGAGCUCAACUCCGGAACUGCCUUUAAGACUGCAUCGCUUGAAUCCAGGAGAGGUGAGUGGAAUUCCGAGUGUAGAGGUGAAAUUCGUAGAUAUUCGGAAGAACACCAGUGGCGAAGGCGGCUCACUGGACUGGUAUUGACGCUGAGGUGCGAAAGCGUGGGGAGCAAACAGG